Long non-coding RNA from Carassius gibelio (silver crucian carp), 1008 nucleotides. RefSeq lists it as uncharacterized. The record is from RefSeq and is a predicted model, not a curated record. The transcript has 4 exons. NCBI's taxonomy places the organism in Eukaryota, Metazoa, Chordata, Actinopteri, Cypriniformes, Cyprinidae.
UGGGAGCAAUUAAUGUGAUUGGAUGACCUGUUUAAUUGUUUGUGAGUACGAGGAAACUGCAUGCAGUAAUUGAGCAGGUUAUGGUGGAUCAUCUGUCAAGCUCACCCAGCGCUGUCAUUAGAACAGAAUGCUGUGUCUGUCAGUCCCAUGAGUGUCCCUCCACGCUACAGGAGAACUCUUCCCCACACUAAAGAAAAAAUCUCAGAAGUCUUUAAUGGAGAACAACUUAUCCAACAAUUAUCGUGCAUGGUGCUUGAACAGAGGGAGGCUGUACUGCCUGCAGGACAUCUCACAGGGUGCCGAGCUUCAUUUCUGAGCAGACGGCCCACACCUACCUCCCACAAAGUCUGAGACAGCAGCCGUGCCUGACCCUCAGAGUUACUGAUGUGGAUAACACAGCCAAGGGAGCCCUGCUGUAUGUUCCCCACACACACACACACAUGCGCGUGCGAGAGGACCCAAAGUGUUUUUUUUUUUUUUUGGCACAGAACACAGUCUGGGGAAACUUUACAUAGUCUCUCUGAAUAGGAAAUCAAUGCUCUAAAGGAAAAUAAAGGUAAUAACUUAGCACAAGCCUUUUUCUUACACACAAAAAUGUUUUAUUAAAAUGCAUAAAUAUUCACCCAGAAUGUUUCUUACCCACACAAACCUGUUCAUAAAGUGAUGUCAUUUUGAAUGUAAAAAUUGGAGCUGUCAAAUUUUUUUAAUCAGAUUAAUUGCAUCAUGCAUGCAUGACGUGCCAAUUGGUAAGGUUGGUAAGAUUUUUACACGUUUUUUAAAUAAGUUGCUUGUGUUCAAACAUAAAAACAGUAAUUGUUUUAAUAUUUAAUAUAUUACAUUUAAAAAGUAAUUUAUUCCUGUAUUUUCAGCAUAAUUACUAAAUGUUCAAGUCGUGCUUCACAUUUUUUAUAUUUACAUAUUUUUGUGGAAUCUUUUCUAAAUAGAAAAUAUAAAUAUAUUUAUUGACACUUUUGAUUAUAGUUUAAUGCAUAAAUGAAUGUACACAUA